CAUCUUCCUCUCACCUCAAGCGGCCGCUAUCCAAAAAGACCAAGGGGUCUUCGACGGCCGGCCAUCAACUGCCACGCUUCGACGGUAGCUCACUCAAGCUCCGACCGACGACCCAGCUUCUCCCCUGGUCGAAACCCAAAACCGAGUCUCUCUACCCUUCCUUCCUCGAUCUGGACCUCAAAGGAAACCUAAAAAAUGAUUUGGGAUUAAAAAUCCCAAAAUCGAUAGCCUUAACGGCCACCGCCUUCCCCGACACCCAACGAACCCCAAUGGUUUGGCUCCGACCGACAACCCGACUACAGCGGGGCCUAUAGGGCUAAGGAAGAAGAUGGUUACAAGUGCCUUCUUUCCAGAGAAAGAAUCGGCGGAGAGAAAAUCUCAGGGGAAUUACUAAUGCUCUCCUUUUCGAGAGGGAAAGAAAAGAAAAUUCAGAGGGGUCCCCUCCUGUUUUAUUCUUUUUCGGGUUUAUACAUCCACCCAAAUCCUAAAAAAAUUUACAAUUGGUUCCUAUGCAUGUGAUUUGCUUAUGAGGAUUGGUAAGGUAUGGUUGGUGGCAUGUGCGUGGAGCUGAGUUGAUGGAAACUGCUGGGAUUUGGUGACAGCAGGUCAUGAAGAAUGGAAACAUAUUAAUGGCCAAAUACUUUCAAGGUUCAAACAUUUAGUGGUAGUUUUUUUUACAGUCCAGACUCGCUGUAAAGAAUCAUCAAAUAAUUGGCAAAAGGAAUACGUAUACGGGAAGGGUGCAUGAACAAAACCGUGGCAGAAAAGAACACAGAGGGUGAUACUGAUGUACCACGCCGGUUUGGCAAAAUGUCCUUAAACUAUGGGGUACUACGAGGCAGGGUGCCGACUGGAUUGCUUAAUUCAAUUGGUUCAACAAGAAGGUUCUAAUUGCACUUCUUAAUAUAAUCAAGAACUGAGCAGGCAUAGACUUCAAGAAAGAUCGCAGGGGACAGAAUUAAUGUGAAGAUUGCGUAAAAUUGCAGAUUAGAAGAUGGCAUGUCUGUUUAGCAAGUUGGUUUAUUUUUGCUGACGCUGUGCUACGGGUGUAUUAAACUUGUAAAACUGCUAUAUGCAGUUCACUUUUUAGUAAGCUUCUAAAUACAAAACUGAUUUAUA
Long non-coding RNA from Hibiscus syriacus, 1119 nucleotides. RefSeq lists it as uncharacterized. NCBI's taxonomy places the organism in Eukaryota, Viridiplantae, Streptophyta, Magnoliopsida, Malvales, Malvaceae. The transcript has 3 exons. The record is from RefSeq and is a predicted model, not a curated record.